AACGCGAAGAACCUUACCAGCCCUUGACAUGUGACUCGCCGGUCUCAGAGAUGGGACCUUCGGUUCGGCCGGAGUCAGCACAGGUGCUGCAUGGCUGUCGUCAGCUCGUGUCGUGAGAUGUUGGGUUAAGUCCCGCAACGAGCGCAACCCUCGUCUCCAGUUGCCAUCAGGUUAUGCUGGGCACUUUGGAGAAACUGCCGGUGACAAGCCGGAGGAAGGUGGGGAUGACGUCAAGUCCUCAUGGCCCUUACGGGCUGGGCUACACACGUGCUACAAUGGCGGUGACAAUGGGAUGCGAAGGCGCGAGCCGGAGCCGAUCCUAAAAAACCGUCUCAGUUCGGAUUGCACUCUGCAACUCGAGUGCAUGAAGUUGGAAUCGCUAGUAAUCGAGGAUCAGCAUGCCUCGGUGAAUACGUUCCCGGGCCUUGUACACACCGCUAGUC
RNAcentral lists this ribosomal RNA (443 nucleotides) under uncultured bacterium. Its description in RNAcentral is "bacterial SSU rRNA". It matches the Rfam family "Bacterial small subunit ribosomal RNA", at positions 958 to 1398 of the family's 1533-position model. The record is from RNAcentral.